GUAAUCACAACUCAGAACCCAAAUUUCCAAUUCUUGGGAAAGACAUGAGUAGACCCUAAUUUUUUGUUGAACCAAAACUAAACUUCAUGCAAACAUAUCUACUUCAUAUUAAAUCAAAACACGUCACUAUUAUUCAGUUUAUCAAUUAAAUUUACCAAUUAAAUCUUCAAUUAAGAAAACCCUAAUUUAAAUUGUCUUACUGUUAGGUUUGAAUUCACCAAAUAACCAGCACCAUCAACUACUCCUUGAUCUUUCUCGAUUUCUCUCGAUCCCAAAACUUCUGUUGAUUCCUUCAUCCGUAACACUUUUUUUUAUUUUUUUAUUCAACCCUCUUAAAUGUACAAGAAAUCCUAACUCAAUCGAAUCUUUGAUCUCGGUAACCCUCUUCUCGAUCCAUUGAUUCUACUAAUUUUUUUUAUUUCUCGCUGGUAACAGAUACCAACAUGGAUUGUUCACUGGUUUUGAUUCUCUUAUUUUCAAAAACGGCUGGCAAAGAACAAAUAUGGAAGAGGGAACUGAAAGAAGAGAUUUUACGGAAAAUCAGAAAGACUUCUCAAGAUGAACAGAAAGUUGAUUCAACUUUACCAUAAAGAGAGAAUGGUGAUAGUUAAGAGGAAGUGCCCAAAUCUCCAUGCUACAGAAAGAGAGAAUGUUGCUGCAAGCUGAACUUGGUUAGAAUUUGUACAUCAAUAAUGUUCACUUUGUUGGAAAACAUAUCCUGUUAGAGUGUUGGAUGUAUUAAUACUAACCCGAGUCAAGCUAGGAAAACUAAUACUCUCCAAGUUUACAUUGCUGCUCCGCUAGCUUCAAGUAAAGGUCAAGUUGACUUCUAUCGCCCUACUGUCUUUCAACUUGCGUAAUUGUUGGAACAAUUACCGAUUUCAAACCUGCAAAACAAAAGUUAAACACAAAAACAAGAUAACGGCUGAGUCACGAUCAGGUCGCUCUCUUUAAGACGUUUCGUGGCUCUGGCUUGAGUUUUGUGCAAGCAGUUCGUUCUUCGUCACAAUGUCCCAGGAUAAAACAGGCGAGAUAAAAAAUCUCUUCAACCCCUCACGCACACAAUGAGAGAUUGAUCACUUUCACUCUUUCUUAUCUUGCUCAGAAAAACUAGUUUCUUAAUUCUCAUAAAAAAAACAACAGUGAUAUUGAAAACUUGUUUUCCUUCUGCUUCCAAAACUGAUUUUUAUAGCCAAGGGCAGUAAAACUGGAUUGAAAAUUCUUUUUCAGAAUCAUAUAUACAUAUUAUUUAUAUAUAUGUACCCAAUCAGUAGGGGGAGGGAUUUGAUCCUGAGACCUCACCCUCAAGGCCCAAAAUACUUAACCACUGGGCCAAACUCAAAUUGUUGAUAAAUAUACAAAAAAAAUUAUUUUAAAACAUAUAUCCCAACAGUAAUUUUAAAGUCGCAUAUAGGAUACCAAAAUCAAGAUCGCACUUUUAAUGGUUCGGAAGAAAAAUCAAAAAACAAUGGAUAACCGUAAACAAGGUUUGUAAGCCAGCCAGAUUACCAAUAUAUUGUUGAUUUUUUUUUUUUGAGCAGUCACUGUUGGAUUUCGGUUUCAUAAUUUUGGUGGUGCUUGGUUUACAAAAGAAGUUGUCGAUUCAAUUAACGCCUGAUUUUCAUUAUGUAAAAACGAAGUGAACAUAAAUUUAUUCCAUUUAAUAUUUAAUUUUUUUAGAACAGCUCCACUAUAAAACGAUCGACGAGUUACAGUUGGAGUCAUCGUGGUUUAUGGUGUAAUCUUGUUUUCAUAAUCUGCAGAGCUAAAACAAAUUUAUUUAUUUAUCCGAACAUUAAUAUUUUAUCAAUUGUUUUUCUAAAAUGUUCCAGUCGUUAGUGGUGCCUUUGUAUUUUGAUGGACUCCAAAAGAGUGAAACAUGUUUUGUAGUAGCCCAUGAAUACAAGAUGCUGCAACCAGUUAUAGUUGAACAAAUAUUAUAGUGUCUUAUCGCUGAAGGUACUUAAAUAUCCAUGAGAAUUUAUAUAAAUAUUUCCUUGAAGUGUGAAGGUGUAUCAGAUGUCCAGGUUUCUUCAAAGGGUGCUAUCUUGGCACUCUUUCUCUUUUCUAAUCUUAUCUUGCCUUUCUCAAAAAACAAGAUGUCCAGGUUUCUCCGUUGCUGCAACUGCUAUGACAACUUCUUGGGAAUUACCGAAACUGCAUCUAUACAAGACAUGAGUAUUUGGGAAUCAUCAAGGAAUCAUCAAUGAUGGCUGAAAGAGUUUGGUACAAUUUCUUGGGAAUUACCGAAACUGCAUCUAUACAAGAGAUUAGGCCGCUUACGAGUUGAACGGUUGAAUCUAGCUAAAACUGUUGAUGAUAAAAGCAGUUGAAGAAACUUUUUGGCAAAUAGCUGCUGAUGCGCUGCAUAUAAGAUUCUUGAAAUGGACACUUAUCAGAUUCAUGUUGUCUAUGCUAUUGUUGUGACAUGUGAACUCCGUGUCAGACUCAUACAACAUACAGAUAGGCUGUGGCUCUCCGUGAUACCCUCUUUAGUGGUGCUGCUGACGAUUGGGGAAGAGCUUUUGGGAGCAUUAAUGAUGGUUCCAGUUCACCAAUUGGUCUAAGAGGAACAAUGAAUGCUGGUAUAGCUCCACUUUAAGGCAGAUGACGUGUACAAAGCUGGUGAUAUAAGGAUGUAUAGCUAAGGCUGUUACUGAAGCAAUAUGACUGGUUAAGUAGUCAAAUAAUGUAGCACCCAAAUACCCAAUAGCCGCGCCUUUUGAUCAACUGUAUAUCUGUAUUAAGUCAGGAGAACAGAUCAUUCAUCUAUUCCCAUGAAUUAGCGGGACGGGGACACGGUUUUGUGCUUUGUGUGCCCACAUGAGACAACAGGGGACGAUAUAAUAGAGCUAGCUUAUACUUUCGGCCAUAAAUUAUACCGAAAGAAGAGGGAAUACGGUUUAGUCAGUAAUUUAAAAAAACAUACCAAACUUAGAUAAUAUUAAAUGGCUUAGUCUUCGGUUGAUUGUUUGCUUAGAAAUAUAUCAUUACAUGUGAUGAGUUCAUAGAAAGUGAGUGAUCUACGCAAUUUUGUAAGUUUAUUA
Molecule: long non-coding RNA, 3047 nt
Organism: Papaver somniferum (opium poppy)
Lineage: Eukaryota; Viridiplantae; Streptophyta; Magnoliopsida; Ranunculales; Papaveraceae
Exons: 6
Source: RefSeq, a predicted model, not a curated record